CGGAGGGAGGUCUGAAAGGCUGAGGAAGAAAGCAGAGCGCGGAGCGACUGCGUGCAUGAGAAGUAGCUACACACCUGUAACUGUAAGCCAUGGACGAAGACGCAGCAACUUGGAGUGGGAAUGUGAGGGCUCUGAUAUCAAGCCUGUUAGAGAAGUACCCCAGAAUAGCCUCGAUCUCAGGCGGUUGGUUGUUCUACAAGUCAUCAGG
Molecule: long non-coding RNA, 208 nt
Organism: Coregonus clupeaformis (lake whitefish)
Lineage: Eukaryota; Metazoa; Chordata; Actinopteri; Salmoniformes; Salmonidae
Exons: 3
Source: RefSeq, a predicted model, not a curated record